Molecule: ribosomal RNA, 433 nt
Filed under: uncultured bacterium
Lineage: Bacteria
Description: partial 16S ribosomal RNA
Rfam family: Bacterial small subunit ribosomal RNA
Source: RNAcentral
GACGAACGCUGGCGGCAUGCUUAACACAUGCAAGUCGAACGAGAACUCCGGGUCUAGUGGCGCACGGGUGCGUACCACGGGGGAACCUGCCCUUAGGUUAGGAAUACCUCCCCGAAGGGGGUGCUCAUACCAGAUAAUGUCAUAGGACCAAAGAUCUCUCGCCGCUGGAUGGGCCCGCGUUGGUUUCGGUAGUUGGUAGGGUAAAAGCCUAACAAGGCGACGAUGCAUAGCUGGUAUGUGAGGCUGAUCAGCCACACUGGAACUGAGACACGGCCCAGACGCCUACGGGAGGCAGGAGUAGGGAAUAUUGUACACUGGGCGAAAGCCUAAUCCAGCAAUGCCGCGUGAGUGAGGAAUGCCUUAGUGUUGUAAAGCUCUUUUACCCGAGAUGAUAAUGACAGUACCGGGAGAAUAAGCUCCGGCUAACUCCGUG